AAAUAAAUAUUUAUGAUUUAUAUAUUUUAUUUUAAGUUUAAUUUACAUAUAAAUUUUAGUAUGAAAUUUAUUGUAUUUAAAUAAUAUAAUAAUAAAGUAUAUAGUAAUUAAAAUUAAAAAUUUAAGAAAUUAAGAUUUAGUAAUACAUUAAAUUAAAUAACAAAUUUUGUGCCAGCAGUUGCGGUUAUACAAAAAUUUAAAUAAAUUUUAUUAGUUAAAAUAAAUAAAUUAAAAUAAUAAAUUAAAUUUAAAAUUAUAAGGUGAAAUUUUAAUUUUAAUAAAAUUUAUAAAUAUAUUAUGAAAUUAAAAAAUUUUAUUAAUAAACUAGGAUUAGAUACCCUAUUAUAAGAAAAUUAAUUAAAAUAACUAAAAUAGUAUGUAAUUAUUUAUUGAAACUUAAAUAAUUUGGCGGUAUUUUAGUUCAUUUAGAGGAAUCUGUCUAGUAAUUGAUAAUCCACGAAUAAUGCAUAUUUAAUUUAAAAUUUUAUAUAUCGUUGUUAAAAAAAUAUUUUUUAUAAAAAAUAAUAUUUUAAAAUUAAAAUAAAAAAUUAAUUCAGAUCAAGAUGUAGAUAAUAAUUAAAGUAAGGAUGGAUUACAAUAUAAUUAUAUAAAUGAAUAAUAAAUUUGAAAAAAUUAUUUGAAAGUGGAUUUAAAUGUAAUUUUAUUUAAUUUAAUAAAAUGAUUGAAAAUUAGAAUAUGUACAUAUUGCCCGUCACUUUCAUUUAAAAAUUGGAAUAAGUCGUAACAAAGUAGGGGUACUGGAAAGUGUUCCUAGAAAGA
Molecule: non-coding RNA, 780 nt
Filed under: Anthocharis scolymus
Lineage: Eukaryota; Metazoa; Arthropoda; Insecta; Lepidoptera; Pieridae
Source: RNAcentral